AGGCGGAGGAAAAGAAACCAACUGGGAUUACCUUAGUAACGGCGAGUGAAGCGGUAAAAGCUCAAAUUUGAAAUCUGGUACUUUCAGUGCCCGAGUUGUAAUUUGUAGAAUUUGUCUUUGAUUAGGUCCUGUCUAUGUUCCUUGGAACAGGACGUCAUAGAGGGUGAGAAUCCCGUUUGGCGAGGAUACCUUUUCUUUGUAAGACUUUUUCGAAGAGUCGAGUUGUUUGGGAAUGCAGCUCAAAGUGGGUGGUAAAUUCCAUCUAAAGCUAAAUAUUGGCGAGAGACCGAUAGCGAACAAGUACAGUGAUGGAAAGAUGAAAAGAACUUUGAAAAGAGAGUGAAAAAGUACGUGAAAUUGUUGAAAGGGAAGGGCAUUUGAUCAGACAUGGUGUUUUUUGCAUGCACUCGCCUCUCGUGGGCUUGGGCCUCUCAAAAAUUUCACUGGGCCAACAUCAAUUUUGGCAGCAGGAUAAAUCAUUAAGAAUGUAGCUACUUCGGUAGUGUUAUAGCUUUUUGGAAUACUGUUAGCCGGGAUUGAGGA
Molecule: ribosomal RNA, 543 nt
Filed under: Hanseniaspora uvarum
Lineage: Eukaryota; Fungi; Ascomycota; Saccharomycetes; Saccharomycodales; Saccharomycodaceae
Description: eukaryotic LSU rRNA
Rfam family: Eukaryotic large subunit ribosomal RNA
Source: RNAcentral